GAUGAACGCUGGCGGCGUGCCUAAUACAUGCAAGUCGAGCGAACGGACGAGAAGCUUGCUUCUCUGAUGUUAGCGGCGGACGGGUGAGUAACACGUGGAUAACCUACCUAUAAGACUGGGAUAACUCCGGGAAACCGGAGCUAAUACCGGAUAAUAUUUUGAACCGCUUGGUUCAAAAGUGAAAGACGGUCUUGCUGUCACUUAUAGAUGGAUCCGCGCUGCAUUAGCUAGUUGGUAAGGUAGCGGCUUACCAAGGCAACGAUGCAUAGCCGACCUGAGAGGGUGAUCGGCCACACUGGAACUGAGACACGGUCCAGACUCCUACGGGAGGCAGCAGUAGGGAAUCUUCCGCAAUGGGCGAAAGCCUGACGGAGCAACGCCGCGUGAGUGAUGAAGGUCUUCGGAUCGUAAAACUCUGUUAUUAGUGAAGAACAUAUGUGUAAGUAACUGUGCACAUCUUGACGGUACCUAAUCAGAAAGCCACGGCUAACUACGUG
Molecule: ribosomal RNA, 497 nt
Filed under: uncultured bacterium
Lineage: Bacteria
Description: partial 16S ribosomal RNA
Rfam family: Bacterial small subunit ribosomal RNA
Source: RNAcentral